Molecule: long non-coding RNA, 322 nt
Organism: Pipistrellus kuhlii (Kuhl's pipistrelle)
Lineage: Eukaryota; Metazoa; Chordata; Mammalia; Chiroptera; Vespertilionidae
Exons: 2
Source: RefSeq, a predicted model, not a curated record
AAGUAUACUUACAAAUUAAUCCUUUCUUCAAUCAAAGCAGUAUAAUUUUCACAAUGUUCUUCGUCAUCCCAGUCUCUCCAAAGAAAAUCAUAAAAAAACCUAAGAUAAGUCAAAUUAAGAGGAAAGUGAUCAAAAACUGAGGUAUACUUCCAAGAGAGGCACACUAUGCUCUAGUUCUUCUAAAACCUCAUUAACCAAAUUCCUAGGAAUAUUUGCAAUAUUAGAAGAAAAAGGCUCAGCAACAGAAACAGUCACUCUGAAACAAGAUGAUGAGCUCUGGCGUGGUGUACAAGUUGCCUAAAAUAAAUAUUUUAAAAUUUUA